CACGCCGUAAACGAUGAGUACUAAGUGUCGGGGGAAUCUCGGUGCUGAAGCAAAUGUAAUAAGUACUCCGCCUGCGUAGUACGUGCGCAAGCAUGAAACUCAAAGGAAUUGACGGGACCCUGCACAAGCGGUGGAUCAUGUUGUUUAAUUCGUGGAUACGCGAAGAACCUUACCAGGCCUUGACAUCCUCUGCAAAGCUAUAGAGAUAUAGUGGAGGUGAACAGAGAGACAGGUGG
RNAcentral lists this ribosomal RNA (236 nucleotides) under uncultured Acholeplasma sp. RNAcentral's name for it is "partial 16S ribosomal RNA". It matches the Rfam family "Bacterial small subunit ribosomal RNA", at positions 796 to 1041 of the family's 1533-position model. The record is from RNAcentral. Lineage: Bacteria; Bacillati; Mycoplasmatota; Mollicutes; Acholeplasmatales; Acholeplasmataceae.